This 399-nucleotide ribosomal RNA is filed under the name Triticum aestivum (bread wheat). RNAcentral's name for it is "partial small subunit ribosomal RNA". Lineage: Eukaryota; Viridiplantae; Streptophyta; Magnoliopsida; Poales; Poaceae. The record is from RNAcentral.
AUGGAAAAAGAUCUGAGGUUUUUUAAACUAGAUUUUGCUAAGAUGGUGGCUGACAAGGAGCAUGCAAUUACUGAAUUGGGCAAUGCAAGACUUGCUCUUUCUGACCUAAAGCAAGAGCUUGAGAAGAAGAAGUUGUCUGAUAAAUCUACUACUAGCAUCCAUCAGGUUGUGAGGGCUAAGGCAAAGAAAGAGAGGGAUGAGAUGAAGCAACAGAUGGACAAAAUGAAGGAAGAGAUGGAGAAAAUGAAGGAAGAGAUGGAAAAAGUGGUGUCACAGAGGGAUGACCUGAAGAAGGAGAAGAAGAAACUAGAGUACAUGAUUGGUGAUUUAUUCAGGCACAAGGAGGAGACCAAGAGCAAGAUAAGGUGGGUGAAGGAGAUCUUAGAUGAAUUUGAGUAA